This 254-nucleotide ribosomal RNA is filed under the name uncultured bacterium. RNAcentral's name for it is "partial 16S ribosomal RNA". It matches the Rfam family "Bacterial small subunit ribosomal RNA", at positions 524 to 777 of the family's 1533-position model. The record is from RNAcentral.
UACGAAGGGGGCUAGCGUUGCUCGGAAUCACUGGGCGUAAAGCGCACGUAGGCGGAUCUUUAAGUCAGAGGUGAAAUCCCGAGGCUCAACCUCGGAACUGCCUUUGAUACUGGGGAUCUCGAGUCCGGGAGAGGUGAGUGGAACUGCGAGUGUAGAGGUGAAAUUCGUAGAUAUUCGCAAGAACACCAGUGGCGAAGGCGGCUCACUGGCCCGGAACUGACGCUGAGGUGCGAAAGCGUGGGGAGCAAACAGGG